Molecule: ribosomal RNA, 253 nt
Filed under: uncultured bacterium
Lineage: Bacteria
Description: partial 16S ribosomal RNA
Rfam family: Bacterial small subunit ribosomal RNA
Source: RNAcentral
UACGUAGGGGGCAAGCGUUGUCCGGAAUUACUGGGCGUAAAGCGCCUGUAGGCGGGAACGUGCGUCGGACGUGAAAGUCGGGGGCUCAACCCUCGAAUGCCGGUGGAUACUGUCGGGCUAGAGUGCGGAAGAGGCGAGUGGAAUUCCUGGUGUAGCGGUGAAAUGCGCAGAUAUCAGGAGGAACACCGAUUGCGAAGGCAGCUCGCUGGGACGUCACUGACGCUGAGACGCGAAAGCGUGGGGAGCAAACAGG